UCCAACACAGGAAGACAGCAAGAUGG
Molecule: non-coding RNA, 26 nt
Filed under: Homo sapiens (human)
Lineage: Eukaryota; Metazoa; Chordata; Mammalia; Primates; Hominidae
Source: RNAcentral